Molecule: unclassified non-coding RNA, 22 nt
Filed under: Chlamydomonas reinhardtii
Lineage: Eukaryota; Viridiplantae; Chlorophyta; Chlorophyceae; Chlamydomonadales; Chlamydomonadaceae
Description: small RNA Cre_4018
Source: RNAcentral
UUGGGUGGGAUCCGCAGGAUCC